CCUACGGGAGGCAGCAGUGAGGAAUAUUGGUCAAUGGACGAGAGUCUGAACCAGCCAAGUAGCGUGAAGGAUGACUGCCCUAUGGGUUGUAAACUUCUUUUAUAUGGGAAUAAAAUGUUCCACGUGUGGGAUUUUGUAUGUACCAUAUGAAUAAGGAUCGGCUAACUCCGUGCCAGCAGCCGCGGUAAUACGGAGGAUCCGAGCGUUAUCCGGAUUUAUUGGGUUUAAAGGGAGCGUAGGUGGAUUGUUAAGUCAGUUGUGAAAGUUUGCGGCUCAACCGUAAAAUUGCAGUUGAAACUGGCAGUCUUGAGUACAGUAGAGGUGGGCGGAAUUCGUGGUAUAGCGGUGAAAUGCUUAGAUAUCACGAAGAACUCCGAUUGCGAAGGCAGUUCACUGGACUGCAACUGACACUGAGGCUCGAAAGUGUGGGUAUCAAACAGGAUUAGAUACCCGAGUAGUC
Molecule: ribosomal RNA, 460 nt
Filed under: uncultured bacterium
Lineage: Bacteria
Description: partial 16S ribosomal RNA
Rfam family: Bacterial small subunit ribosomal RNA
Source: RNAcentral